CGCUGAGCCGGAUCCCGGCACCCCGGCCCGGCCGGCGCGGCGGCAGUUCCCGGAAGGGCUGCUUUCCCCGCUGCACCGCCCGCCGGUGCCCGCCCAGCGCCGGGAAGGGGAAUAGUGGGGCCAGGCCAUGCCAGAAAUGCUUGCCUAGGUAAGACCAGGUGCUGCAGUGUACUUCUCAUGAUUUUGGCAUUGCACAAGGUGAAGUUUAACAGCAGUCACCAGAGGCUUUCAGAAGGACUGAUACAUAUACGUACACAAAAAUACAUAUAUUGUGUGUGUGUCUGCAUGUAAAUACAUAUAUUACUCUUGAAUAAUGUGUGUCAUUCCUUUGAUACUGAAGUGUUGACAUGUGGUAUGUGUUCCUAUUAACUGAAGCGUUGACAUGUGAUACGUGCUCAUGUUAAUUCACAGUCUGCUAGCCCACAGGCAUGGGUGUUAUAAAAUCACUUGAGUGCCAAAUGGGACUUAAACUUUUGUUUUAUGUAAGAAGUACAAUAAUUGCAGAAUGGAAGGCUAUUGGUGUCCAUACUAUCAGCUAUCUCUUGGUUGUCACCAGUGACAUGUAAAGCUUUAGCACUGAAAACAUUUGAAAGAUGUUAAUUGCCCACAGUGUUUGUUAUUCCAAAGCUAUUCCUAUGCUGAUUUUGUUUUUCACUAUAAAAACUGUGCAUAAACUGUGAUACAGAUGUUAACAGGUAUAGCAUGUCUGACUUUUUAAAAUUAGACUAAAACUUAAUUUCUGUAAGUGUAUCUAAAUAGACAUCAUUAUGUUAAAAGUGAAAAUCUGAAAGCUUUAGUGUAAUAAAUAUCUCUUAGCAUAUCCUACAAGAUUGUGUGGGUUACUGCAACAGCCCUCUCUUGCACUGCUUUCACUUACAGUACAAAACGUCAGUCUCAGUCAUGCUGUGGAUUGUGAGUGCUCCAUACUGAUUAGAAUUUAGGAUGUUGUUUGCCAGAGAUCAGUAGAAAUCCCUUUAGUUUGUGAGAGCUGUAGCAAAAAUAUCAUGCUUUUCCCUAGUGGUUAACUUCCUCUGACUGAGCUGUUUAAAUUCUUGGUUUUAUUUUAAAAUGUACUGGGUACUGACUGGUACUGUAAGAGAUGGGUUUAAGAAAAUAAUUCAAUGAUAAUACUUUGCAUGAGUCAUUAAUCGUGAGUCAUGAUCAGCAGGCAGUGGUGUCCAAUUUGUUUUCUAAUCCUGCAGUUGCUGCUGCUCUUUAUUACCAUAGUGAUAAUAUUAAAGAGCUGUUAAUGCAUAUAACCACGCAGCUGAAAAUGACAGACACUUUUUUCAGUGGAAUAAAAUUUUCGUAUCUUAA
Molecule: long non-coding RNA, 1317 nt
Organism: Pezoporus occidentalis (night parrot)
Lineage: Eukaryota; Metazoa; Chordata; Aves; Psittaciformes; Psittacidae
Exons: 3
Source: RefSeq, a predicted model, not a curated record